This 566-nucleotide ribosomal RNA is filed under the name Streptomyces sp. 384E09. RNAcentral's name for it is "bacterial SSU rRNA". It matches the Rfam family "Bacterial small subunit ribosomal RNA", at positions 93 to 671 of the family's 1533-position model. The record is from RNAcentral. Lineage: Bacteria; Bacillati; Actinomycetota; Actinomycetes; Kitasatosporales; Streptomycetaceae.
UAGUGGCGAACGGGUGAGUAACACGUGGGCAAUCUGCCCUGCACUCUGGGACAAGCCCUGGAAACGGGGUCUAAUACCGGAUAUGACCACCGACCGCAUGGUCUGGUGGUGGAAAGCUCCGGCGGUGCAGGAUGAGCCCGCGGCCUAUCAGCUUGUUGGUGGGGUGAUGGCCUACCAAGGCGACGACGGGUAGCCGGCCUGAGAGGGCGACCGGCCACACUGGGACUGAGACACGGCCCAGACUCCUACGGGAGGCAGCAGUGGGGAAUAUUGCACAAUGGGCGAAAGCCUGAUGCAGCGACGCCGCGUGAGGGAUGACGGCCUUCGGGUUGUAAACCUCUUUCAGCAGGGAAGAAGCGAAAGUGACGGUACCUGCAGAAGAAGCGCCGGCUAACUACGUGCCAGCAGCCGCGGUAAUACGUAGGGCGCGAGCGUUGUCCGGAAUUAUUGGGCGUAAAGAGCUCGUAGGCGGCUUGUCACGUCGGAUGUGAAAGCCCGGGGCUUAACCCCGGGUCUGCAUUCGAUACGGGCAGGCUAGAGUUCGGUAGGGGNAGAUCGGAAUUCCU